Molecule: ribosomal RNA, 1123 nt
Filed under: uncultured bacterium
Lineage: Bacteria
Description: bacterial SSU rRNA
Rfam family: Bacterial small subunit ribosomal RNA
Source: RNAcentral
UAUGUCGGAUUAGCUAGUUGGUGAGGUAAUGGCUCACCAAGGCAGCGAUCCGUAGCUGGUCUGAGAGGAUGAUCAGCCACAUCGGGACUGAGACACGGCCCGAACUCCUACGGGAGGCAGCAGUGGGGAAUAUUGGACAAUGGGGGCAACCCUGAUCCAGCCAUGCCGCGUGUGUGAAGAAGGCCCUCGGGUUGUAAAGCACUUUCAGCGAGGAAGAACGCCUAGUGGUUAAUACCCAUUAGGAAAGACAUCACUCGCAGAAGAAGCACCGGCUAACUCCGUGCCAGCAGCCGCGGUAAUACGGAGGGUGCAAGCGUUAAUCGGAAUUACUGGGCGUAAAGCGCGCGUAGGUGGCUUGAUAAGCCGGUUGUGAAAGCCCCGGGCUCAACCUGGGAACGGCAUCCGGAACUGUCAGGCUAGAGUGCAGGAGAGGAAGGUAGAAUUCCCGGUGUAGCGGUGAAAUGCGUAGAGAUCGGGAGGAAUACCAGUGGCGAAGGCGGCCUUCUGGACUGACACUGACACUGAGGUGCGAAAGCGUGGGUAGCAAACAGGAUUAGAUACCCUGGUAGUCCACGCCGUAAACGAUGUCGACCAGCCGUUGGGUGCCUAGCGCACUUUGUGGCGAAGUUAACGCGAUAAGUCGACCGCCUGGGGAGUACGGCCGCAAGGUUAAAACUCAAAUGAAUUGACGGGGGCCCGCACAAGCGGUGGAGCAUGUGGUUUAAUUCGAUGCAACGCGAAGAACCUUACCUACCCUUGACAUCGACAGAAGCCGAGAGAGAUCUUGGUGUGCCUUCGGGAACUGUCAGACAGGUGCUGCAUGGCUGUCGUCAGCUCGUGUUGUGAAAUGUUGGGUUAAGUCCCGUAACGAGCGCAACCCUUGUCCUUAUUUGCCAGCGCGUAAUGGCGGGAACUCUAAGGAGACUGCCGGUGACAAACCGGAGGAAGGUGGGGACGACGUCAAGUCAUCAUGGCCCUUACGGGUAGGGCUACACACGUGCUACAAUGGCCGGUACAAAGGGCAGCGAGCUCGCGAGAGUCAGCGAAUCCCUUAAAGCCGGUCUCAGUCCGGAUCGGAGUCUGCAACUCGACUCCGUGAAGUCGGAAUCGCUAGUAAUCGUGA